Molecule: ribosomal RNA, 943 nt
Filed under: uncultured Rhizophagus
Lineage: Eukaryota; Fungi; Glomeromycota; Glomeromycetes; Glomerales; Glomeraceae
Description: eukaryotic LSU rRNA
Rfam family: Eukaryotic large subunit ribosomal RNA
Source: RNAcentral
GACCUCAAAUCAGGUAGGGACACCCGCUGAACUUAAGCAUAUCAAUAAGCGGAGGAAAAGAAAAUAACAAUGAUUCCCCUAGUAACUGCGAGUGAAGAGGGACAAGCUCAAAUUUUAAAUCUGUUAGGUAUCACCUGGCCGAGUUGUAAUUUGAAGAAGCGUUUUCUGCGCUCUUGAUCAGCCCAAGUCCUAUUGAAUGAGGCAUCAUGGAGGGUGAUAAUCCCGUCCGGUUGAUCAAUGCGUUUUACGAUACGCUUUCAAAGAGUCAAGUUGUUUGGGAUUGCAGCUUAAAAUGGGAGGUAAAUUUCUCCUAAGGCUAAAUAUUGGCGAGAGACCGAUAGCGAACAAGUACCGUGAGGGAAAGAUGAAAAGAACUUUGAAAAGAGAGUAAAAUAGUGCGUGAAAUUGUUGAAAGGGAAACGAUUGAAGUCAGUCGUACCGACGGACAAUCAGCCUUUUGAGUGCGAUUCUGUGGGGCAUGAGGAGGAAACCCUCAUGUUUUGCAUAUUUGUGCUCUUUGGGUGUAUUUGUUCGUAUGGUGGGUUAACAUCAAUUUUGGUCGUCAUAAAAUGACGGGAGGAAUGUAGCUUUGGUCUCGUAUUGAAGUGUUAUAGCCUCUGGUAGAUGUGACGACCGGGAUUGAGGAUUGCAACGGAUACCUCUCGGGGCUACUCGCCUGAUCUCUGAUCGUUACUCUGGUGCCGAAAGCUUGCUUAUGUCAUCAAAGUUGAUGGUCAAAAGGUUAGAACGGGUUAAAUUCGUUAAGGAUGUUGACGUAAUGGCUUUAAACGACCCGUCUUGAAACACGGACCAAGGAGUCUAACAUAUAUGCGAGUGUUCGGGUGAGCAAACCCUUACGCGUAAUGAAAGUAAUUUAGGUGGGAACAUUUUUUGUGCACCAUCGACCGAUCAGGAUAAUUUUUGAUAGAUUUGAGUAAGAGCA